This 102-nucleotide small nuclear RNA is filed under the name Ictidomys tridecemlineatus (thirteen-lined ground squirrel). Lineage: Eukaryota; Metazoa; Chordata; Mammalia; Rodentia; Sciuridae. The record is from RNAcentral.
GCUCAUUUCAGCAAAACAUAAGCUAAAAUUGAUAUCAUACAGAAAAAAUUAACACUCCUGCAUGGAGAAGACAUGCAAAUUCAUGAUGUUGUCCACCUUUUU